UACAGGGGGCUCGAGCGUUAGUCGGAAUCACUGGGCUUAAAGGGUGCGUAGGCGGGCAGGUAAGUCCGUGGUGAAAUCUCUGAGCUUAACUCAGAAACUGCCAUGGAUACUAUUUGUCUUGAAUAUUGUGGAGGUAAGCGGAAUAUGUCAUGUAGCGGUGAAAUGCUUAGAUAUGACAUAGAACACCAAUUGCGAAGGCAGCUUACUACACAGUUAUUGACGCUGAGGCACGAAAGCGUGGGGAUCAAACAGG
RNAcentral lists this ribosomal RNA (253 nucleotides) under uncultured bacterium. RNAcentral describes it as "partial 16S ribosomal RNA". It matches the Rfam family "Bacterial small subunit ribosomal RNA", at positions 524 to 776 of the family's 1533-position model. The record is from RNAcentral.